Molecule: ribosomal RNA, 468 nt
Filed under: uncultured bacterium
Lineage: Bacteria
Description: partial 16S ribosomal RNA
Rfam family: Bacterial small subunit ribosomal RNA
Source: RNAcentral
GACGAACGCUGGCGGCGUGCUUAACACAUGCAAGUCGAACGGAAAGGCCCUGCUUUUGUGGGGUGCUCGAGUGGCGAACGGGUGUGUAACAUGUGAAUCACCUGCCCUUGACUUUGGUAUCACUUCAGGAAACUGGCUCUAAUACCGGAUUCUAGCUCCUGCUGCAUGGUGGGUUUUGGAAAGUUUCGGCGGUUGGGGUUGGACUCGCGGCUUAUCAGCUUGUUGGUGGGGUAGUGGCUUACCAAGGCUUUGCCGGGUAGCCGGCCUGAGAGGGUGACCGGCCACAUUGGGACUGAGAUACGGCGCAGACUCCGACGGGAGGCAGGAGUGGGGAAUAUUGCACAAAGGGAGGAAGGCUGAGGCAGCAACGACGCGUGCGGGAUGACGGACUUCGGGUUGUAAACCGCUUGCGCCUGUGACGAAGCGUGAGUGACGGUAAUGGGUAAAGAAGCACCGGCUAACUACGUG